UACGGGGGGGGUAAGCGUUGUUCGGAAUUACUGGGCGUAAAGGGCUCGUAGGCGGCCAACUAAGUCAGACGUGAAAUCCCUCAGCUUAACUGGGGAACUGCGUCUGAUACUGGAUGGCUUGGAUUCGGGAGAGGAAUGCGGAAUUCCAGGUGUAGCGGUGAAAUGCGUAGAUAUCGAGAGGAACACCUGCGGCGAAGGCGGGUAGCUGGGCCGACACUGACGCUGAGGCGCGAAAGCCAGGGGAGCGAACGGG
This 253-nucleotide ribosomal RNA is filed under the name uncultured bacterium. RNAcentral's name for it is "partial 16S ribosomal RNA". It matches the Rfam family "Bacterial small subunit ribosomal RNA", at positions 524 to 776 of the family's 1533-position model. The record is from RNAcentral.